Long non-coding RNA from Pezoporus occidentalis (night parrot), 1079 nucleotides. RefSeq lists it as uncharacterized. NCBI's taxonomy places the organism in Eukaryota, Metazoa, Chordata, Aves, Psittaciformes, Psittacidae. The transcript is spliced from 4 exons. The record is from RefSeq and is a predicted model, not a curated record.
UUAAGGGUUUUGACUCAUGCUUGCCAUUAUUGAAUUCACCUGAAUUACUUUUACUGCAGCUGUGGCAUUUCCCACGCUCCUCUUCCCUGAGUCUUAAUGGUCUGGUGGAGCAGCUGCUAGUUUGCAGGCUGAAGGAAACUAAGGAAGUCAAGGAAUGGGAUUAGAGAAUUAGUACAACAGGUGUUGAUGCCAGUGAAUCUGUGGAACACUGCUUGAAGUCUUUACCCCAAUCUGUUGAUCAUAAAAUGAAAUGAAAAGACCUGACCUUAAGUACCUAAGUACAGACAGUGGUGGGAUAGGAAGGCGUGCAUGGGCUCAAAGAUCUUGUAUAGUGAGAACAAGAGGUCUAGCUGUCUUUUCAAGAAGAGAUACAAUAACAUAAAGAAGACUUGCUGGCUGCACUUUGUCUUUUCUGUGAAGAUGUAAAAUUGAACCAAUUAGUCCUGUGGUAGGUUAUUACUGGCAAAAAACAAACAAGAACAGUAAGCAUUGCAGAGUAAAAAUAACAUCUCUUGUUAAAGAAAUGUUAGAUGUUGCAGAAAGUGACUUUUGGAAUCUGCAUUCUCAGCAUUUUCUUUUAGGCACAGAGAUUUCAGUCUUGUUAGGUUUAGCACUUCUGUGGCCUGGAAAUGACUGGAGAAUUUUACAAUGGUUUUGUUUACAAGAAAUCUCUCAAGUCACCAAGGUAACUACUCUAAAAUUGCAUUUAUUCAGCUUAUCAUGUCAGAACAGGUCUAUUCUGAUGAACUUUUGAAUUACUUUCAAGGAACAUAAACCUGGUUGUUAACUGUUUUAUUAAGAUAAAUGCAUAAAUAUUAAAGUAGAUAUAAAAAAUAAAAUUAUUCUUUUAUUAAUAGUAAAUAAAGCAAACCAUUGGAGUGAAAGCUUGCCUUUAUCUGUUUGCUGGUACUGCUAUCCAAAGGUCUGGCUGUUAUUCUUUUACAUCCCGAAACACUUGAAUCAUCCUCUUGGCUUGUUUAAGAUGAACUGCUUCAAUAUUGCAGCUAAUAGGCUGUAGCUGUUGUGGUCAGUCCUGUAACUAUUGUUGGUUUAUUUGCUAUUUUCAAUAAAUGUUUCAC